Molecule: ribosomal RNA, 1674 nt
Filed under: Microplana monacensis
Lineage: Eukaryota; Metazoa; Platyhelminthes; Tricladida; Geoplanidae
Description: partial 18S ribosomal RNA
Rfam family: Eukaryotic small subunit ribosomal RNA
Source: RNAcentral
UAGCCAUGCAUGUCUNAGUACAGAGACUCGCUAUUCUUAAACCGCGGAUGGCUCAUUAUAACAGCUAUGAUUUGAGAGAAAUAAACUUUGUUGCCACUUACUAACNGNGGUAAUUCUAGAGCUAAUGGAUAUUANAANGCUGUGACUUCGGAAGCAGCGGAUUUAUUANAUCAAAACCCUCCUUUCUGCAAAGAAGGAAAUUUGAUGACUCUGGAUAACUUUNCUGAUCGAACNACCUUGUGUUGACNACGUAUCUCUUGAAGUGGCUGACCUAUCANCUUUCGAUGGUAAGAUCAANGCUUACCNUGGNUGUAACGGGUAACGGGGAAUCAGUGUUCGAUUCCNGAGAGGGAGCCUGANAAACGGCUACCACNUCCACGGANGGCAGCNGGCGCGUAANUUACCCAAUACCGGCUCGGNGAGGUAGUGACAAAAAAUAACAAUAUGGNCCCUAGGGGUUUCAUAAUUGCAAUGANAAUAUUUUAAAUACUUUAUCAAGUAUCAAUUGGAGGGCAAGUCUGGNGCCANCANCCGCGGUAAUUCCANCUCCAAAAGCGUAUAUUAAAGUUGUUGCAGUUAAAAAGCUCGUANUUGAAAUUGGGGUAACUAANUGAGUUGAANUUUUAUGACUGAAAUUCAUUUGNUCCUUUUAUGUCGNGUAUAUUGUUCAGGUGCUUANCUGNAUCUGAUUAAUAACCGACAAGUUUACUUUGAAAAAAUUAGAGUGCUUAAAGCANGCUUAUGCUUGUAUAUUGUUGCAUGGAAUAAUGAAAUANGACUUCGGUUUUAUUUUGGUGGUUUUCGAAACUGAAGUAAUGAUUAAAAGAGACUGCCGGGGGCAUGUGUAUGCUGNUGUUAGAGGUGAAAUUCUUAGAUCAUCAGCAGACAAYYUACUGCGAAAGCAUUUKCCAAGAAUGUUUUCAUUAAUCAAGAACGAAAGUCGGAGGAUNGAAGACGAUCAGAUNCCGUCCUAGUUCUGACCAUUAAACUAUGCCCACUGACNGUUAGCUAAGGUAAUAUUUCAUAUCCUUGCNAGAAGUCACCGGGAAACCUAAGUCUAUGGGGUUCCGGGNGAAGUAUGGUUGCAAAGCUGAAACUUAAAGGAAUUGACGGAAGGGCNCCNCAAGGAGUGGAGCCUGCGGCUUAAUUUGACUCAACACGGGAAAUCUCACCCGGUCCGGACACUGUGAGGAUUGACAGAUNGAUAGCUCUUUCUUGAUUCGGUGGGUGGUGGUGCAUGGCCGUUCUUAGUUGNNGGAGCGAUNUGUCUGGUUAAUUCCGNUAACGAACGAGACUCGAGCCUGCUAAAUAGUACAUUUGUGUUAAAUCGCAAAUGCUGACUUCUUAGAGGAAUUAAUAGCGUUUAGCUAAAUGAAAAUGAGCAAUAACAGGUCUGUGAUGCCCUUAGAUGUCCGGGGCCGCACGCGCGCUACAAUGUCAGUAACAACGAGUUUUAUUCCUAACUAGAAAUGGUAGGGUAAUCUGUUGAAUCACUGUCGUAUCAGGAAUAGUGGUUUGAAAUUUUUCCACUUGAACGAGGAAUUCCUAGUAAGCGCAAGUCACUANCUUGCGCUGAUUACGUCCCUGCCCUUUGUACACACCGCCCGUCGCUACUACCGAUUGAAUGGUUUAGUGAGAUUGUUGGAUUCUAAUNNAAGAAAUGGCAACAUUUCU